AUUGAACGCUGGCGGAAUGCUUUACACAUGCAAGUUGAGCGGCAGCGCGGCCUUCGGGCUGGCGGCGAGCGGCGAACGGGUGAGUAAUGCAUCGGAACAUGCCCAGUCGUGGGGGAUAACACUUCGAAAGAAGUGCUAAUACCGCAUACGUCCUGAGGGGGAAAGCGGGGGAUCGCAAGACCUCGCGCGAUUGGAGUGGCCGAUGUCAGAUUAGCUAGUUGGUGGGGUAAAGGCCUACCAAGGCGACGAUCUGUAGCUGGUCUGAGAGGAUGAUCAGCCACACUGGGACUGAGACACGGCCCAGACUCCUACGGGAGGCAGCAGUGGGGAAUUUUGGACAAUGGGGGCAACCCUGAUCCAGCCAUUCCGCGUGAGUGAAGAAGGCCUUCGGGUUGUAAAGCUCUUUCGGCAGGAACGAAACGGUGGGCUCUAACAUAGUCCGCUAAUGACGGUACCUGAAGAAGAAGCACCGGCUAACUACGUG
Molecule: ribosomal RNA, 484 nt
Filed under: uncultured bacterium
Lineage: Bacteria
Description: partial 16S ribosomal RNA
Rfam family: Bacterial small subunit ribosomal RNA
Source: RNAcentral